This is a long non-coding RNA of Oncorhynchus tshawytscha (Chinook salmon), 496 nucleotides long. Lineage: Eukaryota; Metazoa; Chordata; Actinopteri; Salmoniformes; Salmonidae. The record is from Ensembl.
ACAGAGUCAAUGUGGAGGCUAUAUACAGGGUAUUACGGUACAGAGUCAAUGUGGAGGCUAUAUACAGGGGUACCGGUACAGAGUCAAUGUGGAGACUAUAUACAGGGUGUACCAGUACAGAGUCAAUGUGGAGGCUAUAUACAGGGGGUACCGGUACAGAGUCAAUGUGGAGGCUAUAUACAGGGGGUACCAGUACAGAGUCAAUGUGGAGGCUAUAUACAGGGGGUACCGGUACAGAGUCAAUGUGGAGGCUAUAUACAGGGUGUACCGGUACAGAGUCAAUGUGGAGGCUAUAUACAGGGUGUACCAGUACAGAGUCAAUGUGGAGGCUAUAUACAGGGGGUACCGGUACAGAGUCAAUGUGGAGGCUAUAUACAGGGGGUACCGGUACAGAGUCAAUGUGGAGGCUAUAUACAGGGGGUACCGGUACAGAGUCAAUGUGGAGGCUAUAUACAGGGUGUACCAGUACAGAGUCAAUGUGGAGGCUAUAUACAGG